CUUUUAUAAAAAUUAUCUUAGUUCGGAUUGUUUUCUGCAACACGGAAACAUGAAGUGGGAAUCGCUAGUAAUCGCGUAUCAGCAUGAUGCGGUGAAUACUUUACAAACCCUAGUACACACCGCCCGUCACGCGGCGGAAAUUGGCACUGGCAGACAUAAGCUGGGGUUGUUUAGUUUAUUUUACCCAAACAGUAAUAAUUAUUACUGUUUGUUUUUUUGUUUUUUUUUGUCGUUAUUAAAUAAAAUGUUCGUUGCUAUAAUAGCAACUGCUUAUAACCCUGGGGUUAAAGACUGCUGCGAAGUCGUAACAUGGUAGUCGUAGGGGAACCUGUGGCUGGAAAUAAAUUGUUA
This 351-nucleotide ribosomal RNA is filed under the name uncultured bacterium. RNAcentral's name for it is "partial 16S ribosomal RNA". It matches the Rfam family "Bacterial small subunit ribosomal RNA", at positions 1271 to 1533 of the family's 1533-position model. The record is from RNAcentral.